UUAUGGCCAUAUCACGUUGAAAUACUGGUUCUCGUCUGAUCACCGAAGUUAAGCAACGUCGAGCCUAGUCAGUACCUAGAUGUAUGACCGCUUGGGAAUACCAGGUACUGUAAG
Non-coding RNA from Acanthosepion pharaonis, 114 nucleotides. Lineage: Eukaryota; Metazoa; Mollusca; Cephalopoda; Sepiida; Sepiidae. The record is from the annotation of a GenBank genome assembly.